CCUACGGGGGGCAGCAGUCGAGAAUCAUUCACAAUGGGGGAAACCCUGAUGGUGCGACGCCGCGUGGGGGAAUGAAGGUCUUCGGAUUGUAAACCCCUGUCAUGUGGGAGCAAAUUAAAAAGAUAGUACCACAAGAGGAAGAGCCGGCUAACUCUGUGCCAGCAGACGCGGGAAUACAGAGGUCUCAGGCGUUGUUCGGAAUCACUGGGCGUAAAGCGUGCGUAGGCUGUUUCGUACGUCGUGUGUGAAAUGCGCGGGCUCAACCCGCGGAAGGCACAUGAUACUGCGAGACUAGAGUAAUGGAGGGGGAACCGGAAUGCUCGGUGUAGCAGUGAAAUGCGUAGAUAUCGAGAGGAACACUCGUGGCGAAGGCGGGUUCCUGGACAUUAACUGACGCUGAGGCACGAAGGCCAGGGGAGCGAAAGGGAUUAGAUACCCGAGUAGUC
Molecule: ribosomal RNA, 446 nt
Filed under: uncultured bacterium
Lineage: Bacteria
Description: partial 16S ribosomal RNA
Rfam family: Bacterial small subunit ribosomal RNA
Source: RNAcentral